AGUGAAGAAUCCGAAGAUAAGAAUUCCAAUGUUCCUUCCUAAUUUACCCACACAGCAUGCAGCAGGGUGAGAAGCAUCUUAAGUUAGUGUGUUAUCCAGAAUGACUUGGCUGGAUUACAACUGCGGCCAAGUUUAGCAAGAUCAACUUCUUUUCCCCAAGCCAAUUGCCUGAGGAUUUGAAAACUUGUCUCUCUGUUCUUCCUUUGAACAAAGAAAGUCAAAGUUACCUUUCUGAGACUUCCUCUCAAAUUGAGCUCUCAAGAUGUUGUCGAGAGCAAAUUUUCAAACAAUCUAUCAGCUUUUCAAGAUCAUUCAACGGAGCUGUCACUCAGCAACUCUCAAAGAACUGUGAAAAAGUACAAAUUUUUGUUGGUCUUCGAGUCAGAAAAGGUGCACUCGUUUUUAUCUCCAACCUGUUUGACCUUGAACGAGUCACUUCCCCAUUUCCGUUCAAGGAUUUUUUUCACCUAUAAGAAUAGCACCUCCCCUUUCUGCCUCAGAAUCCAUGAGGAUCAGCUUGGAUGCGGUGGACACAUGCCAGAGGCUACCAUCAGCAUUUGAGUUUACAGAUGAGACAGAAGGCCAAGAAAAGAGAUGCCUCCUGUAUUCAGACACGGCCAAGCCUAUGGUCUUGGAGUCUGAGGUUAUUUUCUUCCUCGUUGUCCCAAUCAAAGCAGACAGUGCAUCACACGCACGAUGUUUAUGGGUCUGUUCCCAGCCCUAUUCUCAACUCCCCAUCCAUAAGGUGGGCCAGAUUGUAGCAUCUUCCUUCUUUGUCAC
Bos taurus (domestic cattle) is the source of this 780-nucleotide long non-coding RNA. The record is from Ensembl. NCBI's taxonomy places the organism in Eukaryota, Metazoa, Chordata, Mammalia, Artiodactyla, Bovidae.